RNAcentral lists this transfer RNA (85 nucleotides) under bacterium. RNAcentral describes it as "tRNA-Leu". It matches the Rfam family "tRNA". From Rfam's summary of the family: Transfer RNA (tRNA) molecules are approximately 80 nucleotides in length. Their secondary structure includes four short double-helical elements and three loops (D, anti-codon, and T loops). Further hydrogen bonds mediate the characteristic L-shaped molecular structure. tRNAs have two regions of fundamental functional importance: the anti-codon, which is responsible for specific mRNA codon recognition, and the 3' end, to which the tRNAs corresponding amino acid is attached (by aminoacyl-tRNA synthetases). tRNAs cope with the degeneracy of the genetic code in two manners: having more than one tRNA (with a specific anti-codon) for a particular amino acid; and 'wobble' base-pairing, i.e. permitting non-standard base-pairing at the 3rd anti-codon position. The record is from RNAcentral.
GCCCGGGUGGUGGAAUUGGUAUACACGAGCGACUUAAGAUCGCUUGCCGUAAGGCAUGAGAGUUCGAGUCUCUCCCCGGGCACCA